This 117-nucleotide small nuclear RNA is filed under the name Camelus ferus (Wild Bactrian camel). RNAcentral describes it as "U5 spliceosomal RNA". It matches the Rfam family "U5 spliceosomal RNA". Rfam says of the family: U5 RNA is a component of both types of known spliceosome. The precise function of this molecule is unknown, though it is known that the 5' loop is required for splice site selection and p220 binding, and that both the 3' stem-loop and the Sm site are important for Sm protein binding and cap methylation. The record is from Rfam by way of RNAcentral. Lineage: Eukaryota; Metazoa; Chordata; Mammalia; Artiodactyla; Camelidae.
AUACUCUGGUUUCUCUUCAGAUCGUAUAAAUCUUUCGCCUUUUACUAAAGAUUUCCGUGGAGAGGAACAAUUCUGAGUUUUCACCCAAUUUUUUGAGGCCUUGCUUUUAACAAGGCU